GCCAGGCAUGGUGGUGCAUGCCUGUAAUCCCAGCUACUCAGGAGGCUGAGGCAGGAGAAUCGCUUGAGCCCGGGAGGUGGAGGUUUCAGUGAGCCAAGAUUGUGCUACUGCACUCCAGCCUGGGUGACAGAGUGAGACUCUGUCUCAA
This 148-nucleotide non-coding RNA is filed under the name Nomascus leucogenys (northern white-cheeked gibbon). Lineage: Eukaryota; Metazoa; Chordata; Mammalia; Primates; Hylobatidae. The record is from Rfam by way of RNAcentral.